Molecule: ribosomal RNA, 586 nt
Filed under: uncultured bacterium
Lineage: Bacteria
Description: partial 16S ribosomal RNA
Rfam family: Bacterial small subunit ribosomal RNA
Source: RNAcentral
UGGGGAAUUUUGGACAAUGGGCGAAAGCCUGAUCCAGCAAUGCCGCGUGUGUGAAGAAGGCCUUCGGGUUGUAAAGCACUUUUGUCCGGAAAGAAAUCCUUGGCUCUAAUACAGUCGGGGGAUGACGGUACCGGAAGAAUAAGCACCGGCUAACUACGUGCCAGCAGCCGCGGUAAUACGUAGGGUGCAAGCGUUAAUCGGAAUUACUGGGCGUAAAGCGUGCGCAGGCGGUUUGCUAAGACCGAUGUGAAAUCCCCGGGCUCAACCUGGGAACUGCAUUGGUGACUGGCAGGCUAGAGUAUGGCAGAGGGGGGUAGAAUUCCACGUGUAGCAGUGAAAUGCGUAGAGAUGUGGAGGAAUACCGAUGGCGAAGGCAGCCCCCUGGGCCAAUACUGACGCUCAUGCACGAAAGCGUGGGGAGCAAACAGGAUUAGAUACCCUGGUAGUCCACGCCCUAAAACGAUGUCAACUAGUUGUUGGGGAUUCAUUUCCUUAGUAACGUAGCUAACGCGUGGAGUUGACCGCCUGGGGAGUACGGUCGCAAGAUUAAAACUCAAAUGAAUUGACGGGGUCAUAGCUGUUUCCU